This is a long non-coding RNA of Micropterus salmoides (largemouth bass), 1999 nucleotides long. RefSeq lists it as uncharacterized. Lineage: Eukaryota; Metazoa; Chordata; Actinopteri; Centrarchiformes; Centrarchidae. The transcript has 3 exons. The record is from RefSeq and is a predicted model, not a curated record.
AACACUAUUUUCUUAGUCUGUCUUAUUAUGUUUAUAAUUAACAAAAUGUUACAACUUUAUUGUGAUAUUGAUGUUAACUGGCAGUAAGCUUGUGAAUAUUAAUAAUCUAAUGAGGAAGGAAAUGUAGUCGUUUAACAGCCUGAUAUCUAUCUUCUGCUUACUGACCACAGAGGAAGGCUUCUUUAAAGACAGCGUCCUUCCUCAUUGUAAGUAGAAUUGUUUAUUGAUGUGACUGAUACUGUAUAUCUCCUGUGUACAUUAUUUUAUCUCCUGACAUGUUUUAUUGUCUCUGAAGCCACACAGAGAGAUGAGAGGAGCAGCUAUGAGUUUAACUGCAGCAGCGAGUGGAUUUGUCGUCUCCCUUCUCUCUGUGUCAGGUGCUGAAUAUCUAAACUUACAUUCAUUGCAUUAAAAGGAAGAAUCUGUGAAAAUGUGGGUCUUGUAAAAGUAGGCUGAAGGUCACAUGUGGAAAUAAGUGGAUCAGAAUUGUGUGAAAGGCAAACUAGAAACAUUGGUUUUAUUUACAAUUGUGGAAACUCCCCAGAUUAAUACAUUUUUAUAUAGUUGUUGUUUGUGUAAAUUUUAAUGGAUAUUAGGACUCUCGUUUUUAACUUCUUUUGCUCUUUCCUUUGCAUAAAUUAUCUGUUUGCUAAGCACUUUUACAUGCUAUAAAUUGAUAAUAUUGUGGGUUUCAUUGGUGACUUUUUUCCUGUCACUCUUUAAAAACCUAUAGUCCUGUAGGAGGAAUUGUUCCAUCAUUACCACAGCUGUAGUUGCUUCAGUCUUUUCUGUCCUGGUUGCAAUCAUCUGUAAGAAUUCACUAUUCAGAUGAAAAACCCACUCAUGUAAAAUAUGUCUGUGCAGUUUCUACCUGAACAGCCAGAGGAGCAGGAUAACCUUCAAUAUGCCAGCAUUCACUUCACCAACAACCAGGCAGAUCCUCUCUACUCCAACAUCAGACCAGCUCGCUCCCUCAGACACACAGAGCAACAAGAUUUCAUGGAGUACGCUGUUGUCACAUUUAAGAGUAAUACUGCCCCGAGAUCCAGAGGUCAGGAACCUGGAGAGGAUCCAUCUGCAUUGUACAGCACAGUCAACGACCAAAACAUAUAUUGCAUUUAUGAUAAUUCUGUUUCUUUUUUUAGUUCUUUCUUUUAGUUAAUAUUUUUCUUGGGAUAUGCCUCUCCAAUAAUUUACAAAUGAAUUAUAUGCCCUAGAGAAAAUUACUUUGUUUUUAGUAUAUGUAAAGUAUUUGACUGCAUUCACCUGUAAAUAUAAUUUGUCUGACUUUUUGCAACAUUUAGUCUUUUCAUGUAACUUUUAUUUUGAAAAAUAGGUCUUAUACAGUCAAUAAGACUGCAUCAUGUUACUUUUUUCCACACUGAUGCAGCACAACAAUUUGAACCCAUGGUGUGCAUCCAAGCGAUGCAUCAAACUGUUUCCUUCUGUUCCUGUUUAGUUUAGCAUCACUGACAGACCCUAAACUAUGACCACAUUUACGAUAAGAUUUCCUUAGAUAGUCUUUGUUGUUUGUUGGAUGUUCUGAAGUGCCUCAAAACUAGUUUGUUACACUCUCUUAAAUAGAUAGACAGAAAGUUCAUAGUUUGCAAAAACAACAAAGCAAGUUACUUUUUAGUGUGAACUUAAGUCUACUUGUAUAUUUGGUUCAUUAUUCAUGUAAAUGAUGUAAAGAGGAAGGAAGUUGGGAGGAUUUUACAGAGUAACGUUGUCUUAUCAAGAUAACUUCCUUUCAUGUUAGGUAGAAGUGUUUUUGAUGUGAAUGAUUUACUUCUGUGGACAUUAUUUAGCUGCAGACAUCUUUUAAUGUCUCUGAAGUCACACAGCGAGACGCGAGGAGCAGAUAUGAGGUUAACAGCAGCAGCGAGAGGAUUUGUCGUCCUUCUCCUGACUGUACCAGUGGUACAGAGUCAGAAUGGCUGGGGAGUGACUUACACUCCAACUCAGAUCUGUGCCUUAAAAGGAUCAACAGUGGACAUAA